ACGAACGCUGGCGGCGUGCUUAACACAUGCAAGUCGAACGAAGAGCGAUGGAAGCUUGCUUCUAUCAAUCUUAGUGGCGAACGGGUGAGUAACGCGUAAUCAACCUGCCCUUCAGAGGGGGACAACAGUUGGAAACGACUGCUAAUACCGCAUACGAUCUAACCUCGGCAUCGAGGAUGGAUGAAAGGUGGCCUCUAUUUAUAAGCUAUCACUGCAGGAGGGGAUUGCGUCUGAUUAGCUAGUUGGAGGGGUAACGGCCCACCAAGGCGAUGAUCAGUAGCCGGUCUGAGAGGAUGAACGGCCACAUUGGGACUGAGACACGGCCCAGACUCCUACGGGAGGCAGCAGUGGGGAAUCUUCCGCAAUGGACGAAAGUCUGACGGAGCAACGCCGCGUGAGUGAUGACGGCCUUCGGGUUGUAAAGCUCUGUUAAUCGGGACGAAAGGCCUUCUUGCGAAUAGUUAGAAGGAUUGACGGUACCGGAAUAGAAAGCCACGGCUAACUACGUG
Molecule: ribosomal RNA, 509 nt
Filed under: uncultured bacterium
Lineage: Bacteria
Description: partial 16S ribosomal RNA
Rfam family: Bacterial small subunit ribosomal RNA
Source: RNAcentral